UAAUACGAGUGGCCCAAGCGUUAUCCGGAAUUAUUGGGCGUAAAGGAUAUGUAGGUGGUUUUAUUAGUCGGGUGUCUAACCUCUGAGCUCAACUUGGAGACAGCAUUCGAAACGGUAAGACUAGAGUAUGUCAGGGGUAAGCGGAACUCAUAGUGUAGGGGUGAAAUCCGUUGAUAUUAUGGGGAACACCAAAAGCGAAGGCAGCUUACUGGGACAUUACUGACACUGAAAUAUGAAAGCGUGGGUAGCGAAUGGG
Molecule: ribosomal RNA, 256 nt
Filed under: uncultured bacterium
Lineage: Bacteria
Description: partial 16S ribosomal RNA
Rfam family: Bacterial small subunit ribosomal RNA
Source: RNAcentral